RNAcentral lists this long non-coding RNA (238 nucleotides) under Capsicum annuum. RNAcentral describes it as "long non-coding RNA (CANN_LNC007054)". The record is from RNAcentral. Lineage: Eukaryota; Viridiplantae; Streptophyta; Magnoliopsida; Solanales; Solanaceae.
CCGAAGGUAGAAAACAAGUUGACCCUUAAAAGCGGAUACGCUACCCUUCCACUCUAGGAUAGGUUCACUUGAAAACUGAAAUUAAACUAUUCUAUUUCUGCAGUCGACUGUGGCAUAGUAGGAAUAAAGCCAAUCCAUGCCGAGAAUGACAUCAAAAUAAGUCAUCUCUAAUUCAACUAAGUCUACUGAAGUGACUUUCUAAAAUAUCAUAAUCGAGAAGUUCCUGUAUAUCCCCCGG